Molecule: ribosomal RNA, 655 nt
Filed under: uncultured Glomus
Lineage: Eukaryota; Fungi; Glomeromycota; Glomeromycetes; Glomerales; Glomeraceae
Description: SSU rRNA
Rfam family: Eukaryotic small subunit ribosomal RNA
Source: RNAcentral
GGGUAACGGGGUGUUAGGGCACGACACCGGAGAGGGAGCCUGAGAAACGGCUACCACAUCCAAGGAUGGCAGCAGGCGCGCAAAUUACCCAAUCCCGACACGGGGAGGUAGUGACAAUAAAUAACAAUACGGGGUUCUUUCGGAUCUCGUAAUUGGAAUGAGUACAAUUUAAAUCUCUUAACGAGGAACAAUUGGAGGGCAAGUCUGGUGCCAGCAGCCGCGGUAAUUCCAGCUCCAAUAGCGUAUAUUAAAGUUGUUGCAGUUAAAAAGCUCGUAGUUGAAUUUCGGGGUUAGUAGGUUGGUCAUGCCUCUGGUAUGUACUGGUCUCACUGAUUCCUCCUUCCUGAUGAACCGUAAUGCCAUUAAUUUGGUGUUGCGGGGAAUUUGGACUGUUACUUUGAAAAAAUUAGAGUGUUUAAAGCAAGCUAACGCUUGAAUACAUUAGCAUGGAAUAAUGAAAUAGGACGUUCGAUCCUAUUUUGUUGGUUUCUAGGAUUGACGUAAUGAUUAAUAGGGAUCGUUGGGGGCAUUAGUAUUCAAUUGUCAGAGGUGAAAUUCUUGGAUUUAUUGAAGACUAACUACUGCGAAAGCAUUUGCCAAGGAUGUUUUCAUUAAUCAAGAACGAAAGUUAGGGGAUCGAAGACGAUCAGAUACC